RNAcentral lists this ribosomal RNA (253 nucleotides) under uncultured bacterium. Its description in RNAcentral is "partial 16S ribosomal RNA". It matches the Rfam family "Bacterial small subunit ribosomal RNA", at positions 524 to 776 of the family's 1533-position model. The record is from RNAcentral.
UACAGAGGGUGCGAGCGUUGUCCGGAAUCACUGGGCGUAAAGGGCGCGUAGGUGGCGGCCCAAGUCCAUGGUGAAAGCUCGAUGCUCAACAUCGAGUCGGCCACGGAUACUGGGUUGCUUGAGCACUGUAGGGGCAGAUGGAAUUCCGGGUGUAGCGGUGGAAUGCGUAGAGAUCCGGAAGAACACCGGUGGCGAAGGCGGUCUGCUGGGCAGUUGCUGACACUGAGGCGCGACAGCGUGGGGAGCAAACAGG